GUAGUCCACGCCGUAAACGAUGUCUACUAGCCGUUGGGGGACUUGAUCCUUUAGUGGCGCAGCUAACGCACUAAGUAGACCGCCUGGGGAGUACGGCCGCAAGGUUAAAACUCAAAUGAAUUGACGGGGGCCCGCACAAGCGGUGGAGCAUGUGGUUUAAUUCGACGCAACGCGAAGAACCUUACCAGGUCUUGACAUCCUCGGAAUCCUGCAGAGAUGCGGGAGUGCCUUCGGGAACCGAGUGACAGGUGCUGCAUGGCUGUCGUCAGCUCGUGUCGUGAGAUGUUGGGUUAAGUCCCGUAACGAGCGCAACCCUUGUCCUUAGUUGCCAGCAUUCAGUUGGGCACUUU
RNAcentral lists this ribosomal RNA (350 nucleotides) under uncultured Cellvibrionales bacterium. RNAcentral's name for it is "bacterial SSU rRNA". It matches the Rfam family "Bacterial small subunit ribosomal RNA", at positions 790 to 1141 of the family's 1533-position model. Lineage: Bacteria; Pseudomonadati; Pseudomonadota; Gammaproteobacteria; Cellvibrionales. The record is from RNAcentral.